This 407-nucleotide ribosomal RNA is filed under the name uncultured bacterium. RNAcentral's name for it is "partial 16S ribosomal RNA". It matches the Rfam family "Bacterial small subunit ribosomal RNA", at positions 28 to 526 of the family's 1533-position model. The record is from RNAcentral.
GACGAACGCUGGCGGCGCGCUUAACACAUGCAAGUCGAGCGAAGCGGCGGCCGGGUGAGUAACACGUGUGUAACCUGCCUUAGACAUUGGGCUAGCCUCGGGAAACCGGGAUUAAUACCAAAUGGUCUAAGAUGGACUCGCGUCCCAUUAGAUAGUUGGUGAGGUAACGGCCCACCAAGGCGACGAUGGGUAGCCGGCCUGAGAGGGUGAACGGCCACAUUGGAGCUGAGAAACGGUCCGAGCUCUACAGGAGGCAGCAGUGGGGAAUAUAGCACAAUGGGGGGAACUCUGAUGCAGCGACGCCGCGUGAACGAAGAAGGCUUUCGAGUCGUAAAGUUCUUUUAUAUGGGAAGCGGUACCAAAAGAAAAAGCCCCGGCUAACUACGUGCCAGCGGCCGCGGUAAUAC